GAUGAAGAACGUAGCGAAAUGCGAUAAGUAAUGUGAAUUGCAGAAUUCAGUGAAUCAUCGAAUCUUUGAACGCACAUUGCGCCCGCCAGUAUUCUGGCGGGCAUGCCUGUUCGAGCGUCAUUACAACCCUCAGGCCCCCGGGCCUGGCGUUGGGGAUCGGCGGAGCCCCCCGUGGGCACACGCCGUCCCCCAAAUGCAGUGGCGGUCCCGCCGCAGCUUCCAUCGCGUAGUAGCUAACACCUCGCGACUGGAGAGCGGCGCGGCCACGCCGUAAAACACCCAACUCUUCUGAAGUUGACCUCGAAUCAGGUAGGAAUACCCGCUAAACUUAAGCAUAUCAAUAAGCGGAGGA
RNAcentral lists this unclassified non-coding RNA (352 nucleotides) under soil metagenome. Its description in RNAcentral is "partial contains 5.8S ribosomal RNA, internal transcribed spacer 2, and large subunit ribosomal RNA". The stretch from base 1 to 120 matches the Rfam family "5.8S ribosomal RNA", at positions 35 to 154 of the family's 154-position model. The record is from RNAcentral.